RNAcentral lists this transfer RNA (71 nucleotides) under Heliconius melpomene (postman butterfly). RNAcentral's name for it is "tRNA HMEL012872". It matches the Rfam family "tRNA". Rfam says of the family: Transfer RNA (tRNA) molecules are approximately 80 nucleotides in length. Their secondary structure includes four short double-helical elements and three loops (D, anti-codon, and T loops). Further hydrogen bonds mediate the characteristic L-shaped molecular structure. tRNAs have two regions of fundamental functional importance: the anti-codon, which is responsible for specific mRNA codon recognition, and the 3' end, to which the tRNAs corresponding amino acid is attached (by aminoacyl-tRNA synthetases). tRNAs cope with the degeneracy of the genetic code in two manners: having more than one tRNA (with a specific anti-codon) for a particular amino acid; and 'wobble' base-pairing, i.e. permitting non-standard base-pairing at the 3rd anti-codon position. Lineage: Eukaryota; Metazoa; Arthropoda; Insecta; Lepidoptera; Nymphalidae. The record is from RNAcentral.
GAACGUAUGGCUUAGUGGUCAGGGUUUUGAAGAGCUUUCAAAAGGCGCAGAUUCGGAUCCCGCUUCGUUCG